RNAcentral lists this ribosomal RNA (675 nucleotides) under uncultured beta proteobacterium. RNAcentral's name for it is "bacterial SSU rRNA". It matches the Rfam family "Bacterial small subunit ribosomal RNA", at positions 54 to 721 of the family's 1533-position model. The record is from RNAcentral. Lineage: Bacteria; Pseudomonadati; Pseudomonadota; Betaproteobacteria.
CAUGCAAGUCGAACGGCAGCACGGGUGCUUGCACCUGGUGGCGAGUGGCGAACGGGUGAGUAAUACAUCGGAACAUGUCCUGUAGUGGGGGAUAGCCCGGCGAAAGCCGGAUUAAUACCGCAUACGAUCUACGGAUGAAAGCGGGGGACCUUCGGGCCUCGCGCUAUAGGGUUGGCCGAUGGCUGAUUAGCUAGUUGGUGGGGUAAAGGCCUACCAAGGCGACGAUCAGUAGCUGGUCUGGGAGGACGACCAGCCACACUGGGACUGAGACACGGCCCAGACUCCUACGGGAGGCAGCAGUGGGGAAUUUUGGACAAUGGGCGAAAGCCUGAUCCAGCAAUGCCGCGUGUGUGAAGAAGGCCUUCGGGUUGUAAAGCACUUUUGUCCGGAAAGAAAUCCUUGGUUCUAAUAUAGCCGGGGGAUGACGGUACCGGAAGAAUAAGCACCGGCUAACUACGUGCCAGCAGCCGCGGUAAUACGUAGGGUGCGAGCGUUAAUCGGAAUUACUGGGCGUAAAGCGUGCGCAGGCGGUUUGCUAAGACCGAUGUGAAAUCCCCGGGCUCAACCUGGGAACUGCAUUGGUGACUGGCAGGCUAGAGUAUGGCAGAGGGGGGUAGAAUUCCAUCGUGUAGCAGUGAAAUGCGUAGAGAUGUGGAGGAAUACCGAUGGCGAAGG